This is a long non-coding RNA of Gadus morhua (Atlantic cod), 1528 nucleotides long. RefSeq lists it as uncharacterized. The record is from RefSeq and is a predicted model, not a curated record. The transcript is spliced from 7 exons. Lineage: Eukaryota; Metazoa; Chordata; Actinopteri; Gadiformes; Gadidae.
GUGCAUCGAAACAUCACCUGUCUGCAACCUUUUACUCAGCGGCGCCAUCCACUUCUCAGGCUGCAUGGCUACUCAGACCAUCAGGAUGCUUAAGCUGUUUGGACUGCAGUGCAUAAGUCCCGGCACUUUUUUCCGUCAUCAACGCUAUUACACUAUCCCUACCAUCGUGCAGGCCUGGAGGAAUGAGCAGAGGGGGAUCAUCAGGGAGUUAAAGGAGACUGGGGGUGGAUUGAUCCUGUCUGGAGACUGCAGAUCAGAUUCUCCUGGACACUGUGCCAAAUAUGGCAGCUACUCCUUGAUUGAGGACCGAAUUAACAAAGUUUUGGAUGUUCAACUUGUCCAAAGCUCAGAAGUCCCAAGCAGAUCUUGGUGGAGCUAGAGGGUCUAAAGCGGAGUAUGCAGUUCCUGAUGGACCAAGACAUUCAAGUAUCUGCUCUGAUAACAGACAGAAAUCGGCAGGUGGCCAAGUGGGUACGUGAGGAACUGUGUUCAAAGGGAACAAGACAUUUCUUUGACAUCUGGCAUAUUGGGAAAAGUGUACAGAAAGCACUGGAUGCUGCUGCCAAAUAGAGGGGCUGUGAGGAUCUGAAGCUGUGGAGGCCAGCCAUUAUUAACCAUCUCUACUGGACUGCAGCUUCCACCCCUACAGGAGAUCCAGAUGAGAUGCAGGCAAAAUGGCAGAGUAUGAUAAAUCAUGUACAGGAUAUACAUGAACACAGCACUCCUGCAUUUCCCAGCUGCGCACAUCAACCGUUGGAAGGAGAGGCGAGAAACAAGGAGUGGCUGGAACCAGGAUCACCAGCAGCCACUAAACUGGAGAGUGUAGCUGCCAGGAAAGCACUGGUGAAAGAUGUUCGACAAUUGUCACCUCAGCAUCAGACGUUCUUCCUGGAGGCCUACAAUUCCCUCAUUCUGCACUUUGCUCCAAAACACACUGGUUUCUCUUUUCUUGAGAAGAGAAACCAGUGUUCUCUUUUCUUUUCUUGCCGUUUGCUACCCCCCGGUUUCGGAAAGGUGGCUGGGUAGUCCGCCCCAUCAAGGAGAAACCAUCUUACGGCUACGCAACAAAUCUUAUGGUCUCUCUGUUAGAGGAAUACUCUAGAUCACCACAGGCCCUACAAGAACGCAGUGCUGUCUUGUCUUCUGAUGCCCCGCCCCCCCUCACCACUUCCCUCCAGAAGAUUGCCUAGGAUGAGGCAGUCAGCCUCCAUCUCGCACGACACUCACGUUUUAAUGUGUCAUAAAACAUACGCGAAAGAAAUUUUGAGAAAACACACGUAUCGGUAAUCGGUAGUUUAUUAGUAAAAAAAAAAAAAAAGAAUGCAUACAAUGGCACUGAAUUUCAUGUGCAAUGACAAAUAAAUCUAAUCUAAUACAUUUUACCAGUUGUUUGUUUCACUGAAUUUAUUCAUCGUCUUCCAAACGGGGCCACUGGAAACCUUUAUAUCUUUGUCCUUCUCCUGCAAACUGUCUCCUUAUUGCUGCAACAACACAUGAAGGUAUUGCUUUCCUGAUGUCCCUGCCUAGA